RNAcentral lists this transfer RNA (72 nucleotides) under Camelus bactrianus (Bactrian camel). It matches the Rfam family "tRNA". Rfam says of the family: Transfer RNA (tRNA) molecules are approximately 80 nucleotides in length. Their secondary structure includes four short double-helical elements and three loops (D, anti-codon, and T loops). Further hydrogen bonds mediate the characteristic L-shaped molecular structure. tRNAs have two regions of fundamental functional importance: the anti-codon, which is responsible for specific mRNA codon recognition, and the 3' end, to which the tRNAs corresponding amino acid is attached (by aminoacyl-tRNA synthetases). tRNAs cope with the degeneracy of the genetic code in two manners: having more than one tRNA (with a specific anti-codon) for a particular amino acid; and 'wobble' base-pairing, i.e. permitting non-standard base-pairing at the 3rd anti-codon position. The record is from Rfam by way of RNAcentral. Lineage: Eukaryota; Metazoa; Chordata; Mammalia; Artiodactyla; Camelidae. RNAcentral also lists the same sequence under 2 other names.
GAAGGUAUAGCUCAGUGGUAGAGUGCGUGUUUAGCAUGCAUGAGGUCUUGGGUUCAGUGCCCACUACCUCCA